Molecule: long non-coding RNA, 471 nt
Organism: Oreochromis aureus
Lineage: Eukaryota; Metazoa; Chordata; Actinopteri; Cichliformes; Cichlidae
Exons: 4
Source: RefSeq, a predicted model, not a curated record
AAAUGAACCAGUGUUCCAGCCCUGUUGCAUUUGACUAGUAGCAUUAAGCUAAGUUGUUCUCCAUUUGGCAUAUUGAUUUCUAUUUUGACUGAUAAUUCCAGCUUUCGCUCACGACGGAGGUCAAAUGUCACUGCUGUUGUUUUCUUUAAUCCCCCUGCACUUUCAUCACAUCCAGUGGCGAGCCCCUCAAGCUUCACCUUCAUCGAAGUCAAGAAAAGUUGGUCUGGUAGUUGAGGAUACCUAUUCCAGCCAAUCGCUACUCAUCGUUACAGCACUGCUGACCCGUGGUAGAAGAUGACCACCACAUCACGAUUGCUGUGCUGGUCACUCGGCAACGACCCCGAGGCAAUAAUGGAGAGGUUACAAAAUAAAGGACAAUUUCCACGUCAUGGACACUGUGAUGAACUACAUUAACUGAUUCCAUGGCAAAGUAAACUGACUUAUCCUGUGGCCAGAUUUUCCACUCACACA